Molecule: unclassified non-coding RNA, 210 nt
Filed under: Hevea brasiliensis (rubber tree)
Lineage: Eukaryota; Viridiplantae; Streptophyta; Magnoliopsida; Malpighiales; Euphorbiaceae
Source: RNAcentral
GGGUUUAUCACAAACAUCACUGUGCAAAUACAAUGUGAUUGCAAUCUCAAAUUCUCCCCACCAAACUUCAGAUAACUCAAAAGGUAGGGACUCAACCCUUGUUGGAUUAUUGGAACUGGAAUGCAACCGAAAAACAGUUUGCUUUAUCACCACACCAAAUCCUCGUUUGUGGUCCCAAGUACAUACACAAUCCAUUUAUGUGACUGAUUC